RNAcentral lists this ribosomal RNA (433 nucleotides) under uncultured bacterium. Its description in RNAcentral is "partial 16S ribosomal RNA". It matches the Rfam family "Bacterial small subunit ribosomal RNA", at positions 29 to 507 of the family's 1533-position model. The record is from RNAcentral.
AACGAACGCUGGCGGCAUGCCUAACACAUGCAAGUCGAACGAGACCUUCGGGUCUAGUGGCGCACGGGUGCGUAACGCCUGGGAACCUGCCCUUAGGUUCGGAAUCACUCCCCGAAAGGGGUGCUAAUACCGGAUAAUGUCUUCGGACCAAAGAUUUAUCGCCUUUGGAUGGGCCCGCGUUGGAUUAGCUAGUUGGUAGGGUAAAAGCCUACCAAGGCGACGAUCCAUAGCUGGUCGGAGAGGAUGAUCAGCCACACUGGGACUGAGACACGGCCCAGACUCCUACGGGAGGCAGCAGUGGGGAAUAUUGGACAAUGGGCGAAAGCCUGAUCCAGCAAUGCCGCGUGAGUGAUGAAGGCCUUAGGGUUGUAAAGCUCUUUUACCCGGGAUGAUAAUGACAGUACCGGGAGAAUAAGCUCCGGCUAACUCCGUG